AUCCCUCUGUAACAUCUAAUAAAUCCCUCGCUAAUUUAAAAUAAGUUAAACUCUGAUGAACACACCAUGAUGAAACUUCAUUCAACACAAAUCACCGUUCAUCUUCUCCUAUCCUUCCUUUAAGCUUGCUCUUCUCCUCUCUCUUUGAUUCGAGUUGAAAAUAGGGCAAGUGUGACUUCUCCGUCGUUUCUGCUUUGUCGCCACACGCGUCGCACGAGCUCCUUCUGUCACUGCUCGCUUGCACGAGCUCCCUCCGCCGCCGCUCGCUCGCAUGAGCUCCCUCCUCUGCUGCUCGCGUUGCACGAGCUCCCUCUGCCGCCUCUCAGCUUAUGUCUCUCUCUGUCUCGCGCCAUCCAUCCUCACCGUUCACAGCCUCUUUGAGUCAUCGUGUCACCAGAUCUGAAACCUACAUUUUAGAUUUUUGUUCUUGAAUCUUCUUCAAGGUUCGAAUUUGGUUUUGGAAGUAGCUCCAUUAAUUGUUAUGGCUAAAAGUUUUGCGUUGAAGAUAAUGUAUUGUGCCUUCUGGAGUUUUGCUUCUGAGCUUGCUCUAGGUGCUGUAAAUUCAGAGGUUCUUCUUGGAAGGUGUUUGAUUUAAUGACUGAACUGAUUUCAUUAUCCUUAACCCUAGCCUUGUCCCUUCCCUGUUGCUGCUGCAGAGAACUGAGUUUCUAAAUUCUAAGGUCAUAAACACACUAAAGAGGGAUCAAACAAACCACCAUGGCUUAACCUCACCCAUUCACAGGUGUGAGGGAGUGGAAUACAAAAACCAGCUUCUUACUGUUCUCAACAUGAACAACGAGAAGGUGCACUUUUUGCCUUUGCCCCGAAAUUUAAAUUCUCUUGUUUUGCUGUUGCCCGUGAGAUGAACUGAAUGAAAAUCUUGGUGCAGGUUUAGCAUUUUCUACCACGAAAGAGAAAUUAGCUGAAGCCUUUUUAGAAUAUGGCAAUGUCCUAAAUGAUGGCAAGGCUGCUGCAGCAGAGAAGAAAAAUUCCAAGGAUGAAACAUCUUCGAAAGAUUCACAGGGGCUGCUGCAUGCCCCAUUUUCCACUUCUUUCUAAUUGUGGCACUUGAAAGUGCUUGGAAUUGGAACUAGCUGUGUGAGAUCUUGUAUUUCGCUGACAAGUUAGAGCCUAUGAUGCCACCUUAUGCAGCACUUUAUUCACCUAGAGGGGUUUAUACUCAUCCUGCCAUUCCUAUUGGGCCAUAUCCACACGGACAAGGAGUUCCAUCUUCACCUGCUACUGGGACACCUCUAAGUAUGGAGAUGCCACCAAAAUCUGCAAAUUCUAAUCGGGGUUUGAUGAAGAAACUGAAAGGGUUUGAGGGGCUUGCGAUGUCAAUUGGGAAUGGCCAUACUGAUAGUACAAAUCUUAGAACUGAAAACAAGCUGUCACAGAGAGCACAGCAGCGACGAUUGGAGUUUUGAAGUAUAUCCAGAGAAGAAGAAGACAAAUGAAAGGUUAAUCUCAUCACUGAAGGCCAUCUCCGAUGAAUAUCAUAUGUCAAAGUUCUCCACACAACCUCACGUGCAGACAAAUACCCGCAAUUAAAAAAUUGUUUGACCUCAUAAUAACUUGAGCAUCCUCUCUACGGAAAGUUUCUUUUGAAACCUCAAGUGCCACCUUGUCUGAACCUUUAUUCAUAUACUUGAACAAAUAUUUAAUAGUAUUUGACUUGUUGUAGUACUAAUCCCUAACAUGCGCUUGAUAAGACAUUAGUAGAUAUGCAUUGUAAGAAAUUACAUUCCUAUUAUCCAUAUGGAAUCUCUUCCUUUCAGUGACUA
Non-coding RNA from Arachis ipaensis, 1784 nucleotides. The record is from RefSeq and is a predicted model, not a curated record. NCBI's taxonomy places the organism in Eukaryota, Viridiplantae, Streptophyta, Magnoliopsida, Fabales, Fabaceae.